Molecule: long non-coding RNA, 1575 nt
Organism: Papaver somniferum (opium poppy)
Lineage: Eukaryota; Viridiplantae; Streptophyta; Magnoliopsida; Ranunculales; Papaveraceae
Exons: 6
Source: RefSeq, a predicted model, not a curated record
CCUCUCGAUUUCUUCUCAGAACAAUAAUCUUCAUCAACCAGAGAUGAAUUGGAGGCUUCGAGAUUGAAAUAAGAGGAGAUCGAUCCUGCAUUAGAUAAUCGUAGCGGUGUUGUUCUCAAUAGCUGAUUCUGACUCAAGGAAACAAGAUAAUUCAGAGAGAAGGAAAUCGAAAUUGGGGGAAAUUAAAAUUAUUGCACCCCUCCUAAUUUUAAUAUCAAAUUCAAUAUGGGUUUCAACUUCAAUUGUUAUUGUUACAUCUUGGUUGUGUAUCAUAGGUAUUGAACCAAGAGUCUAUGGUAAUGGAGUUUACACAGGGUUGAGGAGUUCAGGAAAUUGGCGAGAUCAUGUCGAGAUGGAAAAGCACUUGCAUGGCAGGUGACAAUUACAAAACUCUGACCAUAGCAGCUGUGGUGAGGACGAGCAUCCAUUAAAUGAGUUACUCAUCCUGCAGCUCGGAUCCGAGCACCCUAACCGCCAUUAGAACAUUUCUUUAUGUUAGAUUUUUGGUCUAUCUGAAUAAAGGAGAGCAACAAAAGAGAGCUAGUGAAACAGAAUUAAAGCAAGUUGUGUUGCGCAACUCAGGUUCGUUCUCUUGAUUAUUUAACAUUGCAUAAAACUGAUUUUGCAACCUUUCCUAAAUAUUCUUCACAUGUUGUACACGCAAAGAAACGGAAAACAAGUGAUUCUAAGCCAUGCAAAGUGGAAUCCGAACAAGAAGAACACUCCCUUUCAUUGUCGCAGAAUUCAUCUCCUUCCUAAUCUGACCAAGAGCAGACACCGAUUAAAGCAACACGUCGUCCAUUAUGUUUGUUGAAGCAACGUUUUCAAAAUCCAAAUGUAAACAAUGUCGUAGAGACUCAACCCGAUCAGAUUAGUAGCAUUCGAAGUAGCCCACAAGAUUUUCAUUUUGUGUCUGGAGAAAUCCUAGACACCCCACAAAGCAAGAACAGUUUCUACAUAUGAACGUAGGCUGGCCAGAAGGACAAUUUUCCAUGGACCGCAAACCAAUUGAAGCUAUGCCAGUGCAUUCCUUGGAAAAAUUUCAUUUUUUUCGUACAUAUAUCAAGUUCGCUUUAUUAUCGCUUUAGUCUUUUUUAAUUGAACCAUCCUUUAUUUGUGUGUGUAAACUUUAUUGAACCAUCCACAUCUGUUCUAUGUUAUAGGUUGGAGCUGAUGUUUGAGGUAAAGUGGAUGGAGCAUUCGAUUCUGGAUGCCUAAUGACUGCAAAUGUUAAUGGCAAGAUCCUUAGAGGAAUCUUAUUUGCUCCUGGAAACGGGUUUGUACCAAGGGAUGCCGUUCUUCCUCCAAGUUCACCAACUUUAGGUAAUUUAGUUUUGCGUCAAUUUUUUCGGCCGGCCAUCCCACCGUGGCAGCGGUCAUCUAGCUAUAUGCUGCCCUUAUUUAUCAAUCUUUUUUUAUCGACGACGACAAAUUUUUGUCCAACUGAUCGAAAUUUCAAAUGUCAACAAACCCUUGUUUCUAGCUGUCUAUUUAUCAAUUCUUUUUUUUUCCACAAAUUCCUGUCCAACUGAUCGAAGAAUUUCAAAUGCCAAUAAACCCUUGUUUCUAGCUGUC